This 314-nucleotide ribosomal RNA is filed under the name uncultured eukaryote. RNAcentral's name for it is "partial 18S ribosomal RNA". It matches the Rfam family "Eukaryotic small subunit ribosomal RNA", at positions 1470 to 1796 of the family's 1831-position model. The record is from RNAcentral.
CCCUUAGAUGUUCUGGGCCGCACGCGCGCUACACUGAUUCAUGCAACAAGUUUUGUCCUUGGCUGAUAGGCCUGGGUAAUCUUUGAACGUGAAUCGUGAUGGGGAUAGAUGAUUGCAAUUAUUCAUCUUCAACGAGGAAUUCCUAGUAAACGCAAGUCAUCAGCUUGCAUUGAUUACGUCCCUGCCCUUUGUACACACCGCCCGUCGCACCUACCGAUUGAAUGGUCCGGUGAGGCCUCCGGAUUGGCGCGCACCUCGGUGCCGCCGAGAAGUUGGCUAAACCUUACCAUUUAGAGGAAGGUGAAGUCGUAACA